This is a long non-coding RNA of Sander lucioperca (pikeperch), 588 nucleotides long. RefSeq lists it as uncharacterized. The record is from RefSeq and is a predicted model, not a curated record. NCBI's taxonomy places the organism in Eukaryota, Metazoa, Chordata, Actinopteri, Perciformes, Percidae. The transcript has 2 exons.
CAUCACGAUACUGUCAAUUUUUUACAGAAGCUGAGGAUAAUAAUUCAUUUAGAUCAUAGCUGAGUUUUCUAGCUGAAAUAAUGCCCACAUACAUUUCAUGAGAAACAAAGAACAACCCGGCUCAAGAAGGAUCUAUCAAUAUUCGACAGUGUUAUCUUUCACCACCAAGCGGACUGGCGAUCCCUGUGUAUUUAUGAAAAGCUGUUACUUUAAGAUGUUUUCAAGCAGCCUGUUAAAAAUCAUAAUUUGUUUUAUUUCUGUAAAAUGUAUCAUGGCAGAGUGCUGUACAGUAUUUUUCAGUAGAGUAGGUACAGUAACUAAUACUUUGUAUAUUGUAACUAAGUCUAUUUUUGUUUUAUGAUUGAUGUCAUUGUUUUCCAUUAGGGGUUCAGAUAAAGUCAUUAACAUUUCAAUGCUUCAAAUGAGUAUUAAUAUUAUAUUAUAAUAAUAUCACCGCCUAAUACAAUUUAGUGUAUACUGAAUGUUGAGUAGAUAUUAAGAGCUAUGCACUACCUGUUACAAAACCCUAUGUCUGUAUUUUAAUAAUGGAGCCAUCUGCAAAUCAUAAAAUCUGUAACAAAGGUAUUA